GCUUACACAUGCAAGUCGAACGAGAAAGCACCUUCGGGUGUGAGUAGAGUGGCGCACGGGUGAGUAACACGUAGGUAAUCUGCCUUUUGGUGGGGGAUAACCAGGAGAAAUCCUGGCUAAUACCGCAUAAGUAAGUAAUUAGAAAGGAUGCUCCGGCAUUCGCCGAAAGAUGAGCCUGCGGGACAUUAGCUUGAUGGUGGGGUAACGGCCUACCAUGGCGACGAUGUCUAGCUGGUCUGAGAGGAUGAUCAGCCACACUGGAACUGAGACACGGUCCAGACUCCUACGGGAGGCAGCAGUGGGGAAUAUUGCGCAAUGGGGGAAACCCUGACGCAGCAACGCCGCGUGAGUGAGGAAGGCCCUAGGGUCGUAAAGCUCUGUCAGAUGGGAAGAAUGGUCAUUGGUCUAAUAGGCCUUUGAUUUGACGGUACCUUCAGAGGAAGCACCGGCUAACUUCGUGCCAGCAGCCGCGGUAAUACGAAGGGUGCAAGCGUUAUUCGGAUUUACUGCGCGUAAAGCGCGCGCAGGCGGAUUGGUAAGUCAGAUGUGAAAUCUCGGGGCUCAACCCCGAAACUGCGUCUGAAACUAUCAAUCU
This 595-nucleotide ribosomal RNA is filed under the name uncultured bacterium. Its description in RNAcentral is "bacterial SSU rRNA". It matches the Rfam family "Bacterial small subunit ribosomal RNA", at positions 46 to 642 of the family's 1533-position model. The record is from RNAcentral.